RNAcentral lists this ribosomal RNA (253 nucleotides) under uncultured bacterium. Its description in RNAcentral is "partial 16S ribosomal RNA". It matches the Rfam family "Bacterial small subunit ribosomal RNA", at positions 524 to 776 of the family's 1533-position model. The record is from RNAcentral.
UACAGAGGGUGCGAGCGUUAAUCGGAAUUACUGGGCGUAAAGCGCGCGUAGGCGGCUUUGCAAGUCGGGUGUGAAAUCCCCAGGCCUAACCUGGGAACUGCAUUCGAGACUGCAUGGCUAGAGUAUCGGAGAGGGAAGUGGAAUUUCAGGUGUAGCGGUGGAAUGCGUAGAGAUCCGGAAGAACACCGGUGGCGAAGGCGGUUAGCUGGGCAGUUGCUGACACUGAGGCGCGACAGCGUGGGGAGCAAACAGG